This 241-nucleotide ribosomal RNA is filed under the name uncultured bacterium. RNAcentral describes it as "partial 16S ribosomal RNA". It matches the Rfam family "Bacterial small subunit ribosomal RNA", at positions 1260 to 1500 of the family's 1533-position model. The record is from RNAcentral.
AUCCGGAGCGAACCCCAAAAAUAACGUCUCAGUUCGGACUGUGGUCUGCAACCCGACCACACGAAGCUGGAAUCGCUAGUAAUCGCGAAUCAGAAUGUCGCGGUGAAUACGUUCCCGGGUCUUGUACACACCGCCCGUCACACCAUGGGAGUCAGCAACGCCCGAAGUCAGUGACCUAACCGAAAGGAAGGAGCUGCCGAAGGCGGGGCCGGUAACUGGGGUGAAGUCGUAACAAGGUACC